RNAcentral lists this long non-coding RNA (2674 nucleotides) under Homo sapiens (human). RNAcentral's name for it is "ZNF8 divergent transcript, transcript variant 5 (ZNF8-DT)". Lineage: Eukaryota; Metazoa; Chordata; Mammalia; Primates; Hominidae. The record is from RNAcentral.
ACUCGUGGGCAGGAAGCAAGGGCGGACCCCGAGAGAUGACUGAUUGUGGGGGUGGGGACCGUCUGCUCCUCCUAAUGGCUGGGGACCGUGCACGUCUGCGCGGGCCGGACCUGCUCUUCUCGGGAACUUGCGCGGGAGGAGGCCCGGAGCUGCGCCGCUUUACCCUCUGCUCCCCGGUGCCUAAAACGCACACGCAUCAAAGUCACAGGACGAGUUAGAGGGGGGCUCUAAAUGUAAUCACAAGUGUUCCUAUAGGAGAAAGGCAGAGGGAGAUUUGAAACACAGAGGAGGUGAUGAGAAGACACAGCAGAAGAUAUCUGAAGACUGGAAAGAAUGCUGCAACCAACAGGAGAAGGAAAAGACAGAAAUGUGUUUUCCAUUUGGAGCAUCCAGAGGGAGCACAACCAUAUCAACACCUUGAUUUUGAUCCAGUGACAUUGAUUUUGGACUUGUGGCCUCCAGAACUUUUAGAGAAUAAAUUUGCAUUGUUUUAAGCCAACAGGUUGGUGGAAAUUUUUUACAGCAGCCACAGGAAGCAAACACAGACUCCUAACUGGUGCUUAGUCCUAGAAUAUCAGUUUCUGUUCCACUUCUGGAUCUCAUAAUUGCAUCUCAGACAUCAACACUGACUUCAUAUUCUUAAUGCACCAAUUCUACCAUUUCUUCAGGCUGCAAACAGAGAAAAACUUAUUUAAGCAUUCCAGAAUUGACCCAAUAGAAGACUCUCCAGAAAAGACUGCAUGGUCUCUGAAGCAGCAUGAUCAGCAUGACUGGCUGCAUCUGGGCUCCACCGUUUGCCACUUCAGACAGGUCCUUAGCCUCUUAGAGGUUCAUUUUCCUUGCUGUAGCCCGGAGUAAGAAUGUUUAGCCUACAAGAUUUAUUUUGAGGCAUCAAUGAAUCACUAUGUGAGCCUCACACAGUGUCUGGCACUGAUAUUACAAAAUAUGGUUGAUCUUGCCAUCCUUGUUAUUGUCCUGGUGGGGAUUCCUCUCUGUUGAAGAUACGGAGCCUCUAAAAAUGAGUGGCAGAGGCUCCCAGCUCAGGAUCCUUGUCCAGGUCCUAAAGAUCCUCCACUCUGCUUGUCACUCUGUUCAUUAUGUUUGCAUGGCCACCACGGUCAACACUACUGCGGCCUACCUCAAGUUCUCAUGCCUCACUCUCUGAGCUCAUGAGGACACAAGGAUCCUUUGGCAACACAUUAACUACACUCUGUGGCCAUCCCUUGACUUCUGAGAGGAUGUUUCCCUCCUCUCAAUCAAAAGCUCUCUUCCCUCCUGGGCAAGAUCCUUGCAUGCACCCAGCACCCUCACACCUGGUGCCCUCACACCCAGCACUCUCACACGUGGUGCCCUCACACCCAGCACCCUCACACCCAGCACCCUCACACCUGGUGCCCUCACACCCAGCACCCUCACACCUGGUGCCCUCACACCCAGCACCCUCACACCUGGUGCCCUCGCACCCAGCACCCUCACACCUGGUGCCCUCGCACCCAGCACCCUCACACCUGGUGCCCUCGCAACCAGCACCCUCACACCUGGUGCCCUCACACCCAGUGCCCUCACACCCAGCACUCUCACACUUGCACUGUCCUCAUCCCAACUCUGUGGUUCCUCUGGGGAAUCACUGUGGAAUCCCUCAUGGGAGGAUGUUUUCAAAAGAAACAACAGCCCAAUGAAGGGUAUUUGAGGAUGAGAAGCAGGAAAGAAGUCAGUGGGUGGCUGAGUUGUGUCCAGGUUUUGCGUGGCCAUGGAAAAUCAGGUGAAGGACAUUAAAUAUCUUGCAGUGGCUUCUCCAUUAGGAGCAUGAAAUGAGGAAAGGGGCUGUCCUCACAGGCCAGCCAAGAGGGAUGCCUAUGCCAAACAGAAAGACUGACAGUAAACAGAAUCCAGGAUGACAUGACUGAGGUAUGGUGUGCAGGGCAUGGCCCAGGGAGGAGGGUAGAUAAGUAAGCCUGGGUGCACCUUCAGAGGAAGAAAUAACAGAGGCUGCAGGCGAGAGAGUUACAAGGAAGGAGGAGCAGGAAGACACGAGAAAAAUUCAGAUAAACUCAACAUCUCCAGCCUGGGGGAAACGUGAGAGGGUGGUAUGAAGAUACACACGAUGCAUGUUGCUUAGUGAAAGCAGCCAGUCGGAAAAGGCUACGUAGUGAAUGACCCCAACUAUGACAUUCUGAAAAAGGCAAAACUAUGGAGACAGGAUAAAGAUCAGUGGUUGCCAGUGAGGCAGGAGAAUAGGGUCUGGGGGCAGGGAGCCUAAGGCUGAUUCAUGCUGACUUCAUGAACGGAAUCAAAAGGAAAACCCUAAAUUUCCAUGCCCACGUAACAAAAGGAUCAGAGGCUACUCCCUUUGCAACUCCCCCCAACUUUCUGUGUUGCAGAUGAAAAAUGGAAAGUGCCUCGGAUUGGUCCCCUCCUGCAACCAGUCAGACAUCUGCAUAGAGCGUAACUUUGUAACUUCACUUCAGCCUCUGCUUGGUCACCUUCCACAACCAAUCAGACUGGUCAUGGGCCACUAUUUCAUAGGGUGUAAACCAAGUGACCAAUGGGAAACAUCUAGAGGGUAUUUAAACCCCAGAAAAUUCUGCGACCAGUGCUUUUGAGCCUUGCUUGGGCCUGCUCCCACUCUGUGAAGUGCAUUUUUGUUUCAAUACAGCUAUGCUUUUGUUGCUUC